AAGGUGGGGAUGACGUCAAGUCCUCAUGGCCCUUAUGGCUAGGGCUGCACACGUCCUACAAUGGCACGCACAAAGGGAUGCUAACUCGUGAGAGCACGCAAAUCCCAAAAAUCGUGCCCUAGUUCGGAUUGCAGGCUGCAACUCGCCUGCAUGAAGCUGGAAUCGCUAGUAAUCCCGGAUCAGCAUGCCGGGGUGAAUACGUUCCCGGGCCUUGUACACACCGCCCGUCACACCACGAAAGUUGGCUGCUCCAGAA
This 256-nucleotide ribosomal RNA is filed under the name Alexandrium tamarense. Its description in RNAcentral is "partial Bacterial small subunit ribosomal RNA". It matches the Rfam family "Bacterial small subunit ribosomal RNA", at positions 1170 to 1425 of the family's 1533-position model. Lineage: Eukaryota; Dinophyceae; Gonyaulacales; Pyrocystaceae. The record is from RNAcentral.